RNAcentral lists this small RNA (171 nucleotides) under Pseudomonas aeruginosa PAK. RNAcentral describes it as "potential sRNA". Lineage: Bacteria; Pseudomonadati; Pseudomonadota; Gammaproteobacteria; Pseudomonadales; Pseudomonadaceae. The record is from RNAcentral.
CCACACCUAGUCAGCUAAUCAGAGCUAUCACGAGACAACUGGAGACAACGCAACCCUUUGAUUUUCAAGCUACUGGGCGCUAACGUAUUGAUUCUAAACGUCGACUUUUAGGACUCCGAAGGCAGGGGUCGUGGGUUCGAACCCCGCCGGAUGCGCCAUCUUCCAGAAGCC